UCCAUCUUUUCCCUCUACACUUUUCAUUUUUAUUUUUUUCAUUUCAUAACACAGCCUCUAGCCCUCGUUUCUCACUGCCUCACUUCCAGUCCACGACCCUAUCUCAUUUCAGUUUCUCUCUCUUCCUUUCGCUCUCUCUUUCUUCACUGGCCUCUCAGUUUUCUCUUCGUCAUCGACAAUUCGAGAUCGCCAAGGAGAUCGCCAAGGACUGGGUUAAGCUCUUCGUUUUCUCUACCUUCUUCCUUCACACAUCUCUCAGCCGGAGCUUCCUCCUUUCCCUCCAGUUAUGAUUAGAUCUUUUGUAAAGAUCCAAUAUUGGGGCCGCUAAGUUUGUGAAGGAGAUGGGGCUCAAUUAUCGAGCUGCACUUAGCAAUAUCACCAAUUUCAAAAGAGAGGCUUUUGGGUAUGUGACUUUUUCUUAGAAUCUGAAUCUAUUUCUGGGUUUUCGUUCUGCCAUAGACCCAUUACAAAGUUGGAACUGACUCAUAUUUGAUCUCCAUUUUUGGUUAAUCCACUAGCUCCGUCAGAUUUGUUGUCAUUCUCGUCCUUAUUAUUUUUUUUUUUGUAAGUUGAAUCAUGGAUUUUUAUUCUUGUUGUGCUGUUUUGAUUGUCAAAUUUGAAGUGUCAGUCUAAAUUUUUGGUUUAAUUCCUCUCCUCAUUUGUGGUCUUCUAAAUGUGCCUUUUGCAAAGGCACUUCAGAAGUGUCAGUCCCAGUUCAUGAUGGCACAAGAUGAGAGGCUUAGAGCCACUUCUGAGAUCCUAAACAGUAUGAAGAUCAUUAAGUUACAAUCCUGGGAAGAGAAAUUCAAAAACUCGGUCAAUUCCCUUCGAGAAAGAGAAUUCAAAUGGUUGUCUGAGGGACAAUUUAGGAAGGCUUAUGGAACUUUACUCUACUGGAUGUCACCAACCAUGAUCUCUUCUGUUGUUUUUCUAGGGUGUAUCCUUUUCAAAAGUGUCCCUCUGAAUGCAAGUACUAUAUUCACAGUUUUAGCUUCACUAAGGAGCAUGGGAGAACCUGUGAGAAUGAUACCAGAGGCUCUUUCAGUAAUGAUCCAAGUCAAGGUCUCAUUUGAUCGGCUAAAUGCUUUUUUGCUUGAUGAUGAGUUGAAAGAUGAUGAGAUAAGGAAGCUCCCAUCACCAAAUUCAGAUGAGAGCUUGAGAAUACAAAAAGGCAUUUUCAGUUGGUAUCCUGAAUCAGCAAUUCAAACUCUGAAAGAAGUGAACCUAGAAGCAAAAUGUGAGCAGAAAAUUGCAGUUUGUGGACCAGUUGGAGCUGGAAAAUCAUCACUUUUAUUUGCUAUACUUGGAGAGAUGCCCAAAAUUUCAGGAGCUGUCGAUGUAUUUGGAACCAUAGCCUAUGUUUCUCAAACUUCUUGGAUACAAAGUGGGAUAGUUCGUGAUAACAUACUCUAUGGGAAGCCAAUUAAUGGACAAGAACAAAUAUGAGAAGAUCAUAAAAGCUUGUGCUUUGGUAAGGACAUAAAUAGUUUUGAUCAUGGUGAUCUUACUGAAAUAGGCCAGAGGGGAAUUAACAUGAGUGGAGGGCAAAAGCAAAGGAUUCAGCUGGCUCGAGCUGUCUAUAGUGAUGCUGAUAUCUACCUCCUAGAUGACCCAUUCAGUGCAGUAGAUGCACACACUGCAGCAAUUCUGUUUCAUGAUUGUGUCAUGGAUGCUCUAGCAAAGAAGACUGUGAUUCUUGUGACUCAUCAAGUAGAAUUUCUGUCAGAAGUUGACAAAAUUCUGGUAAUGGAGAGCGGACAAGUUACUCAAUCCGGAAUCAUCGAUUUAUAUGGAACAAAAAUCUUUUGGAUGAACUUAUCAAGUUCAAGGGGACAUAUUUGACAAGGAACUAGAAGCAGCCUUGAUAUUGUGCUUCACUAGUUGAUUGGAUGGGGGCAAGGAUUGUUGCUGCAAUAUUAUGGCCUUUGCAUGUGUUGGGAACAAAACUAGUCUAUAGUAAAAUUCACUCUGCUAUUGGAAUAUCAAAGAUUGCCCACCUCAAAUUUAUAUUCCAGUUUUCCGCACCACAGAGUUAAAGAUCACAAGUUUUACUGAAGCCCAGAUCUCCAAAUGAAGAACCCUGGUUCUGCAUUUGAUAUUAUUUAUGAACACUGCAGAGUCAUGUUCCGUGGCAUUGGUGUUCUGAAGUUUGCUGCUUUGUUAGGUAAAAUCCAUCUUCACUACUUAUAAUUCAGUGUUGCUUUUUAUCUCAGAAUUGAAGAAAAUACCAUUAUUUGGGAAAUAACAGCUAGCUGGUAUGUAAUAUAAUAAGAAGAGUUAAAGUACUAAACUUUUAUUUACUAAAUCAAGUUGGGUUGUGUGAUUCGAUGUGUUGUGUGUGUCUGCAAAAUCUGUGUAGGGUAGUUGCAUUUGUUAAAAUGUAUGUGCAUUGUGACAGAAAAUCAUUUAUUUAAUUAAAGCAGAAAUUUUCACUAUAUACCUUGAGAGGCUUAAGCAAGUCCCAAAAUUUAUAAGUUGUAUUAGACAUGAAGUUUUUUAGGAUUUAGUUUGGCUUUCAGUAAGUUGGUGCUCUGUUUUGGCUUUGCUUAUGUGUUUGGAUUGCUGGUGCAGUACACAUAAUGGAUUGAGAGGUAUGUUUGAUUUAUACUUUUGAUUUGCUUUCUGGUGAUGAUGAAGGUUAUACAUGUUGGUUUUGUGGUCGUAGUGGAGGACUAGACCUCACAUUAAUAGUUUUCUUACUUUAUUCUCUAGGCAAGCCCAAACUAAACCAUUUGAUUUGUGCAGAACAAGAACUUUGAAUUGAUUAAAAAAAAAAAAAAUCUAUAUCAGUAUGUGUAUUGUGUAGAUAUGCAUUUUAAUUGGCUUUUAGUCUUUCUGGAUUUGCUUCUGCAAUGUCUAUCAUUUCUUCUGUUUUGCACUUGUGAAAGAACGAAACACUCACUUCUCAAUGCAUGUUGCGGUUACUAUUCUAUGUAUGGACAUUUCAAGAAGCUGGAUGAAGAGAUUAAAAGGGGAGCUGCAUCUUUGGAAGCAGAAGCCCAACUAUCUCAGGUUUGCAAUUGUCGAUCACUUCAAAGUGGGACAGUUCGUGAUAACAUACUCUACUUGAUUGAUGUAAUGACUACUGCUACUUGUACAUUUUAAUUGUCAUUUUGUAAAUGAAAUUACUUAUAACGAUAAUCUGAUUGAAAUGUUUCUCUUA
Rosa rugosa (rugosa rose) is the source of this 3163-nucleotide RNA transcript. It is a transcript of the gene named ABC transporter C family member 8-like, with no coding region annotated. The transcript is spliced from 7 exons. NCBI's taxonomy places the organism in Eukaryota, Viridiplantae, Streptophyta, Magnoliopsida, Rosales, Rosaceae. The record is from RefSeq and is a predicted model, not a curated record.